RNAcentral lists this ribosomal RNA (253 nucleotides) under uncultured bacterium. RNAcentral's name for it is "partial 16S ribosomal RNA". It matches the Rfam family "Bacterial small subunit ribosomal RNA", at positions 524 to 776 of the family's 1533-position model. The record is from RNAcentral.
GACGUUGGGCGCGAGCGUUGUCCGGAUUUAUUGGGCGUAAAGAGCUCGUAGGCGGCUUGUCGCGUCGAAUGUGAAAACUCGGGGCUCAACUCCGAGCUUGCAUUCGAUACGGGCAGGCUAGAGUUCGGUAGGGGAGACUGGAAUUCCUGGUGUAGCGGUGAAAUGCGCAGAUAUCAGGAGGAACACCGGUGGCGAAGGCGGGUCUCUGGGCCGAUACUGACGCUGAGGAGCGAAAGCGUGGGGAGCGAACAGG